RNAcentral lists this ribosomal RNA (253 nucleotides) under uncultured bacterium. RNAcentral's name for it is "partial 16S ribosomal RNA". It matches the Rfam family "Bacterial small subunit ribosomal RNA", at positions 524 to 776 of the family's 1533-position model. The record is from RNAcentral.
UACGAAGGGGGCGAGCGUUGUUCGGAAUCAUUGGGCGUAAAGGGCGCGUAGGCGGGGUUGUAAGUCGAUUGUGAAAUCCCUGGGCUUAACCCGGGAAUUGCAGUCGAAACUGCAAGUCUUGAGUUCUCGAGAGGAUGGUGGAAUUCCAGGUGUAGUGGUGAAAUACGUAGAUAUCUGGAGGAAUACCGGUGGCGAAGGCGGCUCCCUGGUCCUACAUUGACGCUGAGGAGCGAAAGCGUGGGGAGCGAACAGG